This 482-nucleotide ribosomal RNA is filed under the name uncultured bacterium. RNAcentral's name for it is "partial 16S ribosomal RNA". It matches the Rfam family "Bacterial small subunit ribosomal RNA", at positions 28 to 507 of the family's 1533-position model. The record is from RNAcentral.
GACGAACGCUGGCGGCGUGCCUAACACAUGCAAGUCGAACGGAACUGUUUUGAAAGAUUUCUUCGGAAUGAAUUUGAUUUAGUUUAGUGGCGGACGGGUGAGUAACGCGUGAGUAACCUGCCUUCAAGAGGGGAAUAACAUUCUGAAAAGAAUGCUAAUACCGCAUGACAUAUCGGAACCACAUGGUUUUGAUAUCAAAGAUUUUAUCGCUUGAAGAUGGACUCGCGUCCGAUUAGUUAGUUGGUGAGGUAACGGCUCACCAAGACCGCGAUCGGUAGCCGGACUGAGAGGUUGAACGGCCACAUUGGGACUGAGACACGGGCCAGAAUCCUACGGGAGGCAGCAGUGGGGGAGAUUGCGCAAUGGGGGCAACCCUGACGCAGCAACGCCGCGUGAAGGAUGAAGGUUUUCGGAUUGUAAACUUCUUUUAUUAAGGACGAAAAAUGACGGUACUUAAUGAAUAAGCUCCGGCUAACUACGUG